Molecule: ribosomal RNA, 530 nt
Filed under: uncultured bacterium
Lineage: Bacteria
Description: partial 16S ribosomal RNA
Rfam family: Bacterial small subunit ribosomal RNA
Source: RNAcentral
UGGGGAAUAUUGCACAAUGGGCGCAAGCCUGAUGCAGCCAUGCCGCGUGUGUGAAGAAGGCCUUCGGGUUGUAAAGCACUUUCAGCGAGGAGGAAGGUGGUGAGCUUAAUACGCUCAUCAAUUGACGUUACUCGCAGAAGAAGCACCGGCUAACUCCGUGCCAGCAGCCGCGGUAAUACGGAGGGUGCAAGCGUUAAUCGGAAUUACUGGGCGUAAAGCGCACGCAGGCGGUUUGUUAAGUCAGAUGUGAAAUCCCCGGGCUCAACCUGGGAACUGCAUUUGAAACUGGCAAGCUAGAGUCUCGUAGAGGGGGGUAGAAUUCCAGGUGUAGCGGUGAAAUGCGUAGAGAUCUGGAGGAAUACCGGUGGCGAAGGCGGCCCCCUGGACGAAGACUGACGCUCAGGUGCGAAAAGGCGUGGGGGAGCAAAACAGGAUUAGAUACCCUGGUAGUCCACGCUGUAAACGAUGUCGAUUUUGGAGGUUGUGCCCCUUGAGGCGUGGCUUCCGGAGCUAACGCGUUAAAUCGACCG